GUGCCAUUUGAAAGAAAUUCAGACGGUGAAAGUCCUGCGGCGUGAAUCUGUGGUGAGAGUUUUGCAAAUGGAUGCGGAGGAAGUCCCGCAUGAGUUUAUUUACAUUGAGGCUGGAUUUAACCUGACAACAGUACGAAGAAGGGGAAGAAACAUCGGUCACGGGGCUAUUGUCAAUGUACCAGGGCAACGUGGGGGGAACAUUACCCUUAGUGCUGCCAUUACACAGAAUGGGGUCCUCCACCGCCGUGCCAACUUGGGUCCUUACAACACUGAACUCAUUCUUACAUUUUUAGACCGAUUACACAAUAUCAUCACAGCAGCAAACCAAAGGAACCAGAUGCAAUACAUUGCUAUCACAUGCUUCCUCCAAGCUAUGUGAUCAAAUUGAACCAGCAUCCAUACAAGGGUGGAUUCGUCACUCGAGAAGAUUCUUCCCACGUUGCCUUGCAAAUGAAAAUAUAGCCUGUGAUGUUGACGAGGCCCUGUGGCCAGAUCCAGCUUGGCGGAGGUGUUUAGU
Molecule: long non-coding RNA, 517 nt
Organism: Carassius auratus (goldfish)
Lineage: Eukaryota; Metazoa; Chordata; Actinopteri; Cypriniformes; Cyprinidae
Exons: 2
Source: RefSeq, a predicted model, not a curated record